UACAGAGGGUGCGAGCGUUAAUCGGAAUUACUGGGCGUAAAGGGCUCGUAGGUGGCCAACUAAGUCAGACGUGAAAUCCCUCGGCUUAACCGGGGAACUGCGUCUGAUACUGGAUGGCUUGAGAUUGGGAGAGGGAUGCGGAAUUCCAGGUGUAGCGGUGGAAUGCGUAGAGAUCAGGAGGAAUACCGAUGGCGAAGGCAGGUCUCUGGGCUGAUACUGACGCUCAGGCACGAAAGCGUGGGGAUCAAACAGG
This 253-nucleotide ribosomal RNA is filed under the name uncultured prokaryote. RNAcentral describes it as "partial 16S ribosomal RNA". It matches the Rfam family "Bacterial small subunit ribosomal RNA", at positions 524 to 776 of the family's 1533-position model. The record is from RNAcentral.